UAGUGGCAGACGGGUGAGUAAUGUAUAGGAAUCUACCUAGUAGUACGGAAUAAUUGUUGGAAACGGCAACUAAUACCGUAUACGCCCUACGGGGGAAAAAUUUAUUGCUAUUAGAUGAGCCUAUAUUAGAUUAGCUAGUUGGUGGAGUAAUAGCCUACCAAGGCAAUGAUCUAUAGCUGAUCUGAGAGGAUGAUCAGCCACACUGGAACUGAGAUACGGUCCAGACUCCUACGGGAGGCAGCAGUGGGGAAUAUUGGACAAUGGGCGAAAGCCUGAUCCAGCCAUGCCGCAUGAGUGAAGAAGGCCUUUGGGUUGUAAAGCUCUUUUAGUGAGGAAGAUAAUGACGGUACUCACAGAAGAAGUCCUGGCUAACUCCGUGCCAGCAGCCGCGGUAAUACGGAGAGGGCUAGCGUUAUUCGGAAUUAUUGGGCGUAAAGGGCGCGUAGGCUGGUUAGUAAGUUAAAAGUGAAAUCCCGAGGCUUAACCUUGGAACUGCUUUUAAAACUGCUAACCUAGAGAUUGAAAGAGGAUAGAGGAAUUCCUAGUGUAGAGGUGAAAUUCGUAAAUAUUAGGAGGAACACCAGUGGCGAAGGCGUCUAUCUGGUUCAAAUCUGACGCUGAGGCGCGAAGGCGUGGGGAGCAAACAGGAUUAGAUACCCUGGUAGUCCACGCUGUAAACGAUGAAUGUUAAAUAUGGGAAGUUUACUUUCUGUAUUACAGCUAACGCGUUAAACAUUCCGCCUGGGGACUACGGUCGCAAGAUUAAAACUCAAAGGAAUUGACGGGGACCCGCACAAGCGGUGGAGCAUGUGGUUUAAUUCGAUGCAACGCGAAAAACCUUACCACUCCUUG
RNAcentral lists this ribosomal RNA (852 nucleotides) under Wolbachia endosymbiont of Pholcus phalangioides. RNAcentral's name for it is "bacterial SSU rRNA". It matches the Rfam family "Bacterial small subunit ribosomal RNA", at positions 93 to 983 of the family's 1533-position model. Lineage: Bacteria; Pseudomonadati; Pseudomonadota; Alphaproteobacteria; Rickettsiales; Anaplasmataceae. The record is from RNAcentral.